GGUGACACAGUGACAGAGUAAGGGGGUGACUAGUGACAGAGUGAGGGAGCGGGUGACACAGUGACAGAGUUAGUGAGGGAGUGACUAGUGACAGAGAGAGGGAUGGGGUGACUAGUGACAGUCACCCCCCCUCACUCUGUCACCAGUCAUCCCCUCUCUCUGUCACUAGUCACCCCUUCCCUCCCUCACUUUGCCACUAGUCAUCUCUUCCCUCCCUCACUCUGCCACUAGUCACCCAUUCCCUCACUCUGUCACUAGUCUCCCCCUCUCCUUCCCUCUGUCACUAGUCACCCCCACUCACUGUGUCUCCCCCUCACUCUGCCAC
This 325-nucleotide small RNA is filed under the name Pelobates cultripes (western spadefoot toad). Lineage: Eukaryota; Metazoa; Chordata; Amphibia; Anura; Pelobatidae. The record is from RNAcentral.